Molecule: ribosomal RNA, 330 nt
Filed under: uncultured eukaryote
Lineage: Eukaryota
Description: partial 18S ribosomal RNA
Rfam family: Eukaryotic small subunit ribosomal RNA
Source: RNAcentral
CCCUUAGAUGUCCGGGGCUGCACGCGCGCUACACUGGAGGAAUCAGCAUGCCUUCAUACCUUGCCCGAAAGGGCUGGGUAACCCGCUGAAACUCCUCCGUGAUUGGGAUAGGGAGUUGCAAUUAUUUCCCUUGAACGAGGAAUUCCUAGUAAGCACGGGUCAUAAGCUCGUACUGAUUACGUCCCUGCCCUUUGUACACACCGCCCGUCGCUACUACCGACUGGCCAUUUAUCUAAAGCGUGUGGACUCGAGCCUGUUGGCAUUCGCGUGUCAGUUGGUUUGAAAAAGCACGUUGCAGGUCUGUGGCUGGAGGAAGUAAAAGUCGUAACA